UUUCCGUAGGUGAACCUGCGGAAGGAUCAUUAAUGAUUAACUGUCUGUCGAGCUUGCUCACAGACUUAUCAUAUCCAUAACACCUGUGCACUUGUCGGAUGGCUUAGUGAAGACCGCAAGGUUGGAUCUAUCCAUCUACUUUACAUAACAAUUUAGUAACAAAUGUAGUCUUAUUAUAACAUAAUAAAACUUUCAACAACGGAUCUCUUGGCUCUC
RNAcentral lists this unclassified non-coding RNA (216 nucleotides) under soil metagenome. RNAcentral describes it as "partial contains small subunit ribosomal RNA, internal transcribed spacer 1, and 5.8S ribosomal RNA". The record is from RNAcentral.